GGACGAACGCUGGCGGCGUGCCUAAAACAUGCAAGUCGAACGAGGUAGCAAUAUCUAGUGGCGAACGGCGGAGUAAUACAUGAACAACGUGCCCUAAAGUCCGGGACAAACGCAGAAAUGCCAUAAAUACCGGAUGUGGUGGAGAGAUGGCAUCAUCAUUCCAUUAAAUGGUUUUUCGCUUUAGGAGCGGUUCAUGGCCUAUCAGGUAGUUGGUGGGGUAAUGGCCUACCAAGCCGACGACAGGUAGCGGGUCUGAGAGGAUGAUCCGCUCGAGUGGGACUGAGACACGGCCCACACACCUACGGGUGGCAGCAGUUGGGAAUCUUGCACAAUGGGGGAAACCCUGAUGCAGCGACGCCGCGUGGAGGAUGACGGAUCUAGGUCUGUAAACUUCUUUUACCAGGGACGAAGAACGUGACGGUACCUGGAGAAAAAGCAACGGCUAACUACGUG
Molecule: ribosomal RNA, 453 nt
Filed under: uncultured bacterium
Lineage: Bacteria
Description: bacterial SSU rRNA
Rfam family: Bacterial small subunit ribosomal RNA
Source: RNAcentral